Molecule: ribosomal RNA, 244 nt
Filed under: uncultured Staphylococcus sp.
Lineage: Bacteria; Bacillati; Bacillota; Bacilli; Caryophanales; Staphylococcaceae
Description: partial 16S ribosomal RNA
Rfam family: Bacterial small subunit ribosomal RNA
Source: RNAcentral
CGGCGGACGGGUGAGUAACACGUGGAUAACCUACCUAUAAGACUGGGAUAACUUCGGGAAACCGGAGCUAAUACCGGAUAAUAUAUUGAACCGCAUGGUUCAAUAAUGAAAGACGGUUUUGCUGUCACUUAUAGAUGGAUCCGCGCCGCAUUAGCUAGUUGGUAAGGUAACGGCUUACCAAGGCAACGAUGCGUAGCCGACCUGAGAGGGUGAUCGGCCACACUGGAACUGAGACACGGUCCAG